GACCGAAUGGCGUAGUGGUUAGUGACCCUGACUACUGAGCCGAAGGUCCCGGGUUCGAUUCCCGGCUGGGGAAAUAUUUGUUCA
RNAcentral lists this transfer RNA (84 nucleotides) under Plutella xylostella (diamondback moth). RNAcentral's name for it is "tRNA-Ser". The record is from RNAcentral. Lineage: Eukaryota; Metazoa; Arthropoda; Insecta; Lepidoptera; Plutellidae.